Molecule: small nucleolar RNA, 100 nt
Filed under: Tupaia belangeri (northern tree shrew)
Lineage: Eukaryota; Metazoa; Chordata; Mammalia; Scandentia; Tupaiidae
Description: Small nucleolar RNA U13 (ENSTBEG00000020617.1)
Rfam family: Small nucleolar RNA U13
Source: RNAcentral
AGGCUUCGUGUUCACAUCGUGAUGACAGUUUUCCAUGGUAUUGUGUGAGACGUGCCUCCCUCGACCCUUGUUAUGACAUAUACACAUUAAUAGUCUGACU